Armigeres subalbatus is the source of this 574-nucleotide long non-coding RNA. RefSeq lists it as uncharacterized. The record is from RefSeq and is a predicted model, not a curated record. NCBI's taxonomy places the organism in Eukaryota, Metazoa, Arthropoda, Insecta, Diptera, Culicidae. The transcript is spliced from 2 exons.
CCAUGGUACAAUAUGUACUAGGGUAUAUAACCGUGGUACUUGUACCACCAGUGUGUCUUUAGUAUAAAUUAACUACUUAAUUGUUGAAAAUACUAUGCUGCCAAUGGACCAUGGUAUUAUUAAUGGUGAAAAAUGGUACUGCUGUCAGAGAGAAAACUCAGUGGAAGACGCCAUUACGCUUUGCUGGUGCCGGUGAUAUGGAGAUAAAACAUUAAUAUAAUACAUUUAGAAUAGGGUUUUGAAAACUAGAUUUGCAUAUAUUUCUCAUGAAAACUUUUACGCCCGAAUCAUGGCUUAUAUUUAUACCAUAAAGUUGUUAGUUACCUAUAUUAACGCCGAUCAAAUCAUCAAUGAAAAACCCUGGAUGUUUCCUCAUCGAAUCGUAUCACCAAGUGCUGCAACAAUGUUUCCGGAGAAUUCGAUGGAACAGCAAGUUAUGCAGAUGACAACCGUAUCCGAUAAAAUGUAUUCACCACAAGAACAUCAAUCAGCAUGGUCCACCCAAAAGUGAAUAAUUUUCAUCAGUGUUGUCUAAAAUAAAAAACUAUGUAUAAAGAAGUUGAAAAAAAUCUAA